Molecule: long non-coding RNA, 247 nt
Organism: Rhagoletis zephyria (snowberry fruit fly)
Lineage: Eukaryota; Metazoa; Arthropoda; Insecta; Diptera; Tephritidae
Source: RefSeq, a predicted model, not a curated record
AUCCCAAAGGCGUGAAAUAUUUUCGGAACCAUAAGUCACAUAAACAUGACAUUUGGUAUGCGGACAUAUCUAGGUGCUUAUAGUGAGGUAUAUAUAACUGAGUUUAUAAAAGGGGGCGUAGCACUUAACAUAGGCUUGGAAUUUUUUAUCAGCCAUAACUAUGGAACUACAAGUCACAUGACCCCCUUAAUUCCUUCUGGCGUGGGUUGAAACCCGCGGGUAAAAGCUAGUGUAUAUAAAUAAAAAU